RNAcentral lists this ribosomal RNA (912 nucleotides) under Triticum aestivum (bread wheat). RNAcentral's name for it is "partial small subunit ribosomal RNA". The record is from RNAcentral. Lineage: Eukaryota; Viridiplantae; Streptophyta; Magnoliopsida; Poales; Poaceae.
AUGUGCCUUGCAAAAUCAAGUGGAGGCAUGGGGUUCAGAGAUUUACACGCUUUUAACUUAGCGCUGCUGGCUAAACAGAGUUGGAGGAUCAUUACUCAUCCCGAAUCUUUAUGUGCCCAAGUUCUUAGAGCAAAAUAUUUCCCUGACGAUAAUAUACUACAGGCAGGACCGAAGAAAGGUUCCUCCUACACAUGGCAAAGCAUUUGGGCGGGAUUACAAACUUUUAGGAGAGGACACGUUUGGGGGGUCAGAUCUGGUGAGAGAAUUGGUAUAUGGGAUGAUCAUUGGAUCCCCUCGAGCCCCACAAGGAUGGUGUUCGCAAGGAGAGGCAAUACAUUGCUGAGAAAAGUAAAUGAAUUGAUGAUUCCUGACACGAGGAUGUGGGAUGAAGACCUGAUUAGAAGUAUGUUUCUCCCGGUGGAUGCUGAGAACACUUUAAGAAUCCCUUUGUCGGAGCACCUUGUUGAGGAUUUUGUAGCAUGGAACAGAACCAAAUCUUUCUCCUUCUCUGUAAAAUCUGCGUAUUACACUGAAUGGGAGCAUCAGUUCGGGGCGAGAAUUAACAGUACCCAAGGUUCAGCUGCAAUCAAUCCAGUGUGGGAUAUAGUCUGGAAGUUGGAAGUUCCCAGCAAAAUCAAAAUCUUUAUUUGGCGGGCACUCCAUGGUCUGAUUCAGGGAAUGGCCGUCUUAGCUCAUAGACACAUCAAGGUCUCGCCGGUUUGCCCAAUAUGCCAAACAGGGCUUGAGGAUGUCAAACACCUGCUGUUCUCAUGCCCACGUGCUUCCCAAGUUUGGCGAGCCCUUGGACUAGACGAAAUCAUAGAUCAAGCACUACAGGUUGAUCGCUCUGGCUCGGUGGUGCUUGAGGAAAUUCUAAGGAGGCCGAGAGGUCCCUCCCCGGUUCUUGGUUAG